UACAGAGGGGGCAAGCGUUGUUCGGAAUUACUGGGCGUAAAGGGCGCGUAGGCGGCCUGCUAAGUCGAACGUGAAAUCCCCGGGCUCAACCCGGGAACUGCGUCCGAUACUGGCAGGCUUGAAUCCGGGAGAGGGAUGUGGAAUUCCAGGUGUAGCGGUGAAAUGCGUAGAUAUCUGGAGGAACACCGGUGGCGAAGGCGGCAUCCUGGACCAACACUGACGCUGAGUGAGCGAAAGCCAGGGGAGCAAACGGG
This 254-nucleotide ribosomal RNA is filed under the name uncultured bacterium. RNAcentral's name for it is "partial 16S ribosomal RNA". It matches the Rfam family "Bacterial small subunit ribosomal RNA", at positions 524 to 776 of the family's 1533-position model. The record is from RNAcentral.